GAUGAAGAACGUAGCGAAAUGCGAUACGUAAUGUGAAUUGCAGAAUUCAGUGAAUCAUCGAAUCUUUGAACGCAUAUUGCGCUCUCUGGUAUUCCGGAGAGCAUGCUUGUUUGAGUAUCAGUAAACACCUCAACUUCCAUAUCUUUUUUUGAAAUGGGAGUUGGACUUGAGUGAUCCCAACGCUUUUCCUCACCGAAAAGUGGCGGGUUACUUGAAAUGCAGGUGCAGCUGGACUUUUCUCUGAGCUUUAAGCAUAUCUAUUUAGUCUGCCUAAAAAACAGAUUAUUACCUUUGCUGCAGCUAACAUAAAGGAGAUUAGUUCUUGUGCUGACUGAUGCAGGAUUCACAAAGACAGCUUCGGCCGACUUUGUAAACUCGAUCUCAAAUCAAGUAAGACUACCCGCUGAACUUAAGCAUAUCAAUAAGCGGAGGA
This 433-nucleotide unclassified non-coding RNA is filed under the name soil metagenome. RNAcentral describes it as "partial contains 5.8S ribosomal RNA, internal transcribed spacer 2, and large subunit ribosomal RNA". The stretch from base 1 to 120 matches the Rfam family "5.8S ribosomal RNA", at positions 35 to 154 of the family's 154-position model. The record is from RNAcentral.